UGGGGAAUAUUGGACAAUGGGCGAAAGCCUGAUCCAGCCAUGCCGCGUGUGUGAAGAAGGCCUUUUGGUUGUAAAGCACUUUAAGCGAGGAGGAGGCUACUUGGAUUAAUACUCUAGGAUAGUGGACGUUACUCGCAGAAUAAGCACCGGCUAACUCUGUGCCAGCAGCCGCGGUAAUACAGAGGGUGCGAGCGUUAAUCGGAUUUACUGUGCGUAAAGCGUGCGUAGGCGGCUUCUUAAGUCGGAUGUGAAAUCCCUGAGCUUAACUUAGGAAUUGCAUUCGAUACUGGGAAGCUAGAGUAUGGGAGAGGAUGGUAGAAUUCCAGGUGUAGCGGUGAAAUGCGUAGAGAUCUGGAGGAAUACCGAUGGCGAAGGCAGCCAUCUGGCCUAAUACUGACGCUGAGGUACGAAAGCAUGGGGAGCAAACAGG
RNAcentral lists this ribosomal RNA (430 nucleotides) under Acidobacteriota bacterium. RNAcentral describes it as "Acidobacteria bacterium partial 16S ribosomal RNA". It matches the Rfam family "Bacterial small subunit ribosomal RNA", at positions 355 to 776 of the family's 1533-position model. Lineage: Bacteria; Pseudomonadati; Acidobacteriota. The record is from RNAcentral.